UGGGGAAUUUUGGACAAUGGGGGAAACCCUGAUCCAGCCAUCCCGCGUGUGCGAUGAAGGCCUUCGGGUUGUAAAGCACUUUUGGCAGGAAAGAAACGUCGCGGGUUAAUACCCCGCGAAACUGACGGUACCUGCAGAAUAAGCACCGGCUAACUACGUGCCAGCAGCCGCGGUAAUACGUAGGGUGCAAGCGUUAAUCGGAAUUACUGGGCGUAAAGCGUGCGCAGGCGGUUCGGAAAAGAAAGAUGUGAAAUCCCCAGAGCUUAACUUUGGAACUGCAUUUUUAACUACCGGGCUAGAGUGUGUCAGAGGGAGGUGGAAUUCCNCGUGUAGCAGUGAAAUGCGUAGAUAUGCGGAGGAACACCGAUGGCGAAGGCAGCCUCCUGGGAUAACACUGACGCUCAUGCACGAAAGCGUGGGGAGCAAACAGGAUUAGAUACCCUGGUAGUCCACGCCCUAAACGAUGUCAACUAGCUGUUGGGGGCCUUCGGGCCUUGGUAGCGCAGGCUAACGCGUGAAGUUGACCGCCUGGGGGAGUACGGUCGCAAGAUUAAAAACUUAAAUGAAUUGAACGGGGGUCAUAGCUGUUU
RNAcentral lists this ribosomal RNA (590 nucleotides) under uncultured bacterium. Its description in RNAcentral is "partial 16S ribosomal RNA". It matches the Rfam family "Bacterial small subunit ribosomal RNA", at positions 355 to 935 of the family's 1533-position model. The record is from RNAcentral.